RNAcentral lists this unclassified non-coding RNA (408 nucleotides) under Paspalum subsesquiglume. RNAcentral's name for it is "partial external transcribed spacer". The record is from RNAcentral. Lineage: Eukaryota; Viridiplantae; Streptophyta; Magnoliopsida; Poales; Poaceae.
CGAGCGCAUGAGUAGUGUUGGACCUGUGACUACCGGGAGGACCCCCGCUGUUGUGCGGCCGACUGCCGGUGCCAGUGUCCCUUCAGUUGUUGGCUGUCCUGUGCCAAUGAUUUUGACCGGUGCUUGCGUGCUGCUACCAGAAAUGCUGGAAGUUGCAUUGCUAAAUGUUGGUUUUGCCGUGCAUGCCCAUAGGGCAUUUCACGACAACUAUAAAGUGAUCAUGGCGUUGCCUCGUGUAGCUGCCCAUAUGGGCUAGCCGCGCCAAGGCCACCUCAUGGUCGCUAUUGGUCUCGGAUGUGGCUGACUCUAAAGGCUGAAGGUGCUUGGGCACAUCAUGCCUACAAAAUAUUGUCCGGUUGGAAACAACGACAGUUGGCCUGGCUGAUGCCUUGUGCUAACGCUAGUGCU